AGACUUUGAUCCUGGCUCAGGAUGAACGCUGGCGGCGUGCUUAACACAUGCAAGUCGAACGAACCUUCGGGUUAGUGGCGGACGGGUGAGUAACGCGUGAGAAUCUGCCCUCAGGAGGGGGAUAACGGCUGGAAACGGCCGCUAAUACCCCAUAUGCCGAGAGGUGAAACGAAUUUCGCCUGAGGAUGAGCUCGCGUCUGAUUAGCUAGUUGGUGGGGUAAAGGCCUACCAAGGCGACGAUCAGUAGCUGGUCUGAGAGGAUGAUCAGCCACACUGGGACUGAGACACGGCCCAGACUCCUACGGGAGGCAGCAGUGGGGAAUUUUCCGCAAUGGGCGAAAGCCUGACGGAGCAACGCCGCGUGAGGGAUGAAGGCCUCUGGGCUGUAAACCUCUUUUCUCAAGGAAGAAGAUCUGACGGUACUUGAGGAAUAAGCCACGGGUAUAUCCGUGC
Molecule: ribosomal RNA, 453 nt
Filed under: uncultured Synechococcus sp.
Lineage: Bacteria; Bacillati; Cyanobacteriota; Cyanophyceae; Synechococcales; Synechococcaceae
Description: bacterial SSU rRNA
Rfam family: Bacterial small subunit ribosomal RNA
Source: RNAcentral